CCUACGGGGCGCAGCAGUGGGGAAUAUUGGACAAUGGGCGAAAACCUGAUCCAGCCAUGCCGCGUGUGUGAAGAAGGCCUUCGGGUUGUAAAGCACUUUCAGUGGGGAAGAAAGCCUUGGGGCUAAUACCCUCGAGGAAGGACAUCACCCACAGAAGAAGCACCGGCUAACUCCGUGCCAGCAGCCGCGGUAAUACGGAGGGUGCGAGCGUUAAUCGGAAUUACUGGGCGUAAAGCGCGCGUAGGCGGUCUGAUAAGCCGGUUGUGAAAGCCCCGGGCUCAACCUGGGAACGGCAUCCGGAACUGUCAGGCUAGAGUGCAGGAGAGGAAGGUAGAAUUCCCGGUGUAGCGGUGAAAUGCGUAGAGAUCGGGAGGAAUACCAGUGGCGAAGGCGGCCUUCUGGACUGACACUGACGCUGAGGUGCGAAAGCGUGGGUAGCAAACAGGAUUAGAUACCCCGGUAGUC
Molecule: ribosomal RNA, 465 nt
Filed under: Vreelandella stevensii
Lineage: Bacteria; Pseudomonadati; Pseudomonadota; Gammaproteobacteria; Oceanospirillales; Halomonadaceae
Description: partial 16S ribosomal RNA
Rfam family: Bacterial small subunit ribosomal RNA
Source: RNAcentral